Molecule: long non-coding RNA, 1895 nt
Organism: Diachasmimorpha longicaudata
Lineage: Eukaryota; Metazoa; Arthropoda; Insecta; Hymenoptera; Braconidae
Exons: 2
Source: RefSeq, a predicted model, not a curated record
AAUACUACUGGGCAUUAAAAAUUACUAGGAAAAAUUAAAAAAUUCAGGCCAGGAGCAAAGUACGUAAGUUCAAAAAUGCUUCCCAAUUUCAACCCUUCCCAUUAUGCUUUUCAUUUUCCUUUCUAGUCCAUAGGCCUUUUAUUUUAUUUUGCAUAAAAGAAAAUUAGCUUCAAAAUCUUUCACUAAGCACUCAUUGUUAAUUAAAUAUGAUUGUGUCAGCUAUAAUAAUUUUAGCUCCUCUUCGUUAGCUAAAAAGAUACUAUUCAAAUACAACUAUUGGUGAUGGCGAAAUAUAAUUUAAAAACGAAUGGUUCAAUUCAGUUUUUUCAUCAAUAAAAACUUUGCUUUAUUAUAAAACCCAUUAAAUUCAACAAAUUUCUGGAUUCAGAUGAAUCACCGCAAAUCAGAUGCCAACCUGGAACAACAAAUUAAUUCAUAUUUAUUACUUUCAAUAGUUGCGUCUGUGGAAUAGUUCUUCAUGAUGAAUUAUAUCAGUUAGAGCUAAUAAUUGAAUAAUCAUGAUAGAUUCAGUCACUGAUUUCAUCAUUAAAGGUUCUUCACAAAAAAUUUUAAGACAGUUUUGGUAUUUCCAGAAUAAUUACCUAUAUUACACUGGUCAGCAUGAUGGGUGCAGUCACCUGUUAUUAUCUGAAAGUAAAUUAUGCUCAAAUAGAUUUGCAAUGUUUUGAAUAAAUGGGAAUCUUAAUUCGUGAUUUCAAUUCAGUGGUAGUGACGAAACAUUGAAUUUUACAUAGAUCGAUUCAAUUAUAGUUAAUGCAUCAUUAAUAAUUUUAUAAGGGUGAGCCUUAUAAUGAUCAGGAACUAUGGAAUGCCUAAAUUGUAAAUACCAUUGAAUAUGUGGCGAAGUCAACAGCAGCACUCAACUUUUUCAAUCAUUAGGCUCUCUCUAUUCUGGAAAAGAAAAAUUAUAUAUCUAUAUAGCGAUGUGCCGUGGCUCUUAAAAAAUAGUUUCGAGUUAAAAAAUAUAUCAGAUAGGAGCGAAAGACAUUGCUACGUGUGUACAUCAAAGUUCAUCAGUUGAACUAUGAAAUCAUCAUUUAAAACACCAGCCACUGUUAUCAUAGACUCUAUAGGAAAUAUCUAACGCCAAUGAUUGAACAUUGCAAUUCCGAAGUGAAAAAUCCCUUCAUUUUAAUGAUAAAUAAAAAUUACCGUUGUACGCAUGGCGAUGCCAACAGCAGCACUGAACUUCGUUAAUCAUGAGGAUUCCCUCCAUUCUGGAAAUAAAAUAUGGAAUUAGAUAUAAUGGAUAUUUAUAAGAUGUUGACAAAUGUUUGAUCAAAAAAUUAUAUCAGAUAGGAGCGAAAGACAUUGCUACGUGUGUGCAUCAAUAUUCGUCAGUUGAACUAUGAAAUCAUCAUAUUAAUUCAUUAUUUCCGAUUUUUUAAAUACUUUUCAGCAUAAAGUAAUAGAUACAUACUCAUGAUAUUGUGGUUUUCUGUUCUCACUCCAUCAAAUUUGAUUCCCUGAUUUGAUCUGGAAUAAAUAAAUGAUGAAUUUAGAUUCGAAUGUCUCAAGUUUAGAUUAUUCGAUUUGGUAGUAAUCAUAAAUCAGAUAGGAGCGAAAGACAUUGCUGUAGUAUAGCAUCAAAGUUUCUCAGCUGAACUAUGAAAUCAUCAUUUAAAAUGUUCUUAUUAGACAUACAAGAAAUAAACUUUCCAUCUUUUUAACAUACCUCUAUCCAUGAUAGAUUUUUCAUGGCUUCUUGAAAGUAGCUUGGACGAAAAUUCUGGGGACGUCAAUGUUUUCUUUCAAAUUGAUUGUUCGUCUCUGAACAUACAUACAAGUCACCAUUUCAAACCCACUUGCUUGGAAUAUUUCUUCGACUUCUGAUGUGGAAAAAUAGUAACUUCUACAAAUUCACCAAAAACAAA